UGGGGAAAGGGACACGUCGGCGAGGGUCGGCGGUCGAAAUCUAGGCGCGGUGGCUAUCGGAGGAGGCCUUCCACUCUCGGCCUCGCUCUUCCUCUCGGUCUCUCAAUCUCUCUCUCUCGGAAUCGCUUUGCCAGCUGCCAGCUGCCGGGGCGCUUGCCCUCGACCAGACAUCAUCGCGCGACGUUCCCUGCGGCUGUCCUGUUCCCCGUCGUAACAGUGUCCCCGUCGCGCUGCAGAGGGC
RNAcentral lists this long non-coding RNA (241 nucleotides) under Eucalyptus grandis. Its description in RNAcentral is "long non-coding RNA (EGRA_LNC006159)". The record is from RNAcentral. Lineage: Eukaryota; Viridiplantae; Streptophyta; Magnoliopsida; Myrtales; Myrtaceae.